Lolium perenne is the source of this 742-nucleotide long non-coding RNA. RefSeq lists it as uncharacterized. The record is from RefSeq and is a predicted model, not a curated record. NCBI's taxonomy places the organism in Eukaryota, Viridiplantae, Streptophyta, Magnoliopsida, Poales, Poaceae.
UACAGUCACUGCUCAUAAGUGUAGACGUGUAGUGCAUGGUCUGUUAGUAUUGAAGCUAUACCAGACAUUGUGCAAGUUAAGGUCUCGCAAUCACAUCUGGCUGAUUUGGCCCAAAUCUAUCCAAAUAGCAAGUGCAAGCGUCCAGUGCUCAAUUUGCUUAUAUAUGAUGGUGAUGUCUUAGAUGGAACCCUGCAUGUCUGAACAUUGCUAUGGAUCAGGAUCAAAGAUCGUGUUCACCUUCUCAGUUCUCAAGCUAUCUAUGAGACAGCUCACUCGCAGCCAUAAUAGACUUAGUGUUUAGCUACGAGGACUAGUGCAGAAUAACGUACCAGUUGCUGUCAGUUUGAUCUUUCUACAUUCCCUUGGCCUUCGACGCCUCUUUUCUUCAGUCCCCCCAGCCAGGAGAAGACGAAGACACUGAAAGCUGACCAGUUAAGUAUGAGGCGGAGCGACUAUUUUGCUAACCUAGCCAGCACACAUGUCCUAGAUUUACUACAGCGUCCCGUUAGAUCUAUUCCUUUCCAUAUUCUGAGGUAGAUUCUGUGUGACAAACGUAAAGAUAAUGUCACACAUUACAGUAUCAAGAUUAAACACAUGGGGUAGAUUUACUACAGCGUCCCGUUAACUCAUUAUUUUUCACACAUUAUCUUUACAUUUUCCUUCCACUAAACUGCCUACAUUGCUAAAAAUUACCACCAGUCACUCAGUAUAUGGCGCGGCGUGCCGCCGCGCCCUUUCAUUG